Molecule: ribosomal RNA, 346 nt
Filed under: uncultured bacterium
Lineage: Bacteria
Description: bacterial SSU rRNA
Rfam family: Bacterial small subunit ribosomal RNA
Source: RNAcentral
GGUGAGUAACGCGUGAGGAACCUGCCUUUCAGAGGGGGACAACAGUUGGAAACGACUGCUAAUACCGCAUGACGCAUUUUGAUCGCAUGGUCGAAAUGCCAAAGAUUUAUCGCUGAAAGAUGGCCUCGCGUCUGAUUAGAUAGUUGGCGGGGUAACGGCCCACCAAGUCGACGAUCAGUAGCCGGGCUGAGAGGUUGACCGGCCACAUUGGGACUGAGAUACGGCCCAGACUCCUACGGGAGGCAGCAGUGGGGAAUAUUGGGCAAUGGGCGCAAGCCUGACCCAGCAACGCCGCGUGAAGGAAGAAGGCUUUCGGGUUGUAAACUUCUUUUAAGUGGGAAGAGCA